UACAGAGGUCUCAAGCGUUGUUCGGAUUCAUUGGGCGUAAAGGGUGCGCAGGCGGCGUGGUUAGUUGAGUGUGAAAUCCUGGGGCUUAACCUCAGAACUGCACUCAAUACUGCCAUGCUAGAGGAAUGUAGAGGAGAGUGGAAUUCACGGUGUAGCAGUGAAAUGCGUAGAUAUCGUGAGGAAGACCAGUUGCGAAGGCGACUCUCUGGGCAUUUCCUGACGCUCAUGCACGAAGGCCAGGGGAGCAAACGGG
RNAcentral lists this ribosomal RNA (253 nucleotides) under uncultured bacterium. RNAcentral's name for it is "partial 16S ribosomal RNA". It matches the Rfam family "Bacterial small subunit ribosomal RNA", at positions 524 to 776 of the family's 1533-position model. The record is from RNAcentral.